GAAGCGAACCCGGGGAACUGAAACAUCUCAGUACCCGGAGGAAAAGACAUCAACCGAGAUUCCGUUAGUAGUGGCGAGCGAACGCGGACCAGGCCAGUGCCUUUCAUUAAAUUAGCAGAACACUUUGGAAAGAGUGGCCAUAGCGGGUGACAGCCCCGUAUGCAAAAAUGAUGUGAAAGGACUCGAGUAGGGCGGGACACGUGAAAUCCUGUCUGAACAUGGGGGGACCACCCUCCAAGCCUAAAUACUCGUACAUGACCGAUAGCGAACAAGUACCGUGAGGGAAAGGUGAAAAGCACCCCGAUUAGGGGAGUGAAACAGUACCUGAAACCGAAUGCUUACAAGCAGUUGGAGCCCCAUAGGGGGUGACAGCGUACCUCUUGCAUAAUGGGUCAGUGACUUAAUCUAACAUGCAAGCUUAAGCCGUUAGGUGUAGGCGUAGCGAAAGCGAGUCUGAAUAGGGCGACUGAGUAUGUUGGAUUAGACCCGAAACCCGGCGAUCUAGGCAUGACCAGGUUGAAGGUGCGGUAACACGCACUGGAGGACCGAACCGUUUAAUGUUGAAAAAUUAUCGGAUGAGUUGUGUUUAGGGGUGAAAGGCCAAUCAAGCCGGGAAAUAGCUGGUUCUCCGCGAAAUCUAUUGAGGUAGAGCGUCAGAUGUAUGCCGAUGGGGGUAGAGCACUGGAUGGGCUAGGGCU
RNAcentral lists this ribosomal RNA (698 nucleotides) under Gonyaulax spinifera. Its description in RNAcentral is "partial Bacterial large subunit ribosomal RNA". It matches the Rfam family "Bacterial large subunit ribosomal RNA", at positions 176 to 926 of the family's 2925-position model. The record is from RNAcentral. Lineage: Eukaryota; Dinophyceae; Gonyaulacales; Gonyaulacaceae.